AUGAAUCUGGGCAAUGGUCCUCAAGAUGCAUCUGCCACUCUGGAACAAGCAAGAGAUGGUACCCCAAUGGAAAUCUCGUGGGUGAAAAAGAAGUUGCUAAACAUCAGAAAGGAAAUCUCUGUGAAGAAGUCACAAGUGCCAUCAAAUUAUGCAGCUGGGCAACACCAGAUUUUGCUUGGUUCCAUGGUUAAUUCAGAAGGUAAUAAAAGAAUUCUUGGUUUCCCUAUUAAUGCAGCCAUCGAUAGAGAUUCUCAACUCUCAUGCACUAUGCACAUGGGCACAGAUAGCACACCCAUGAGUAAGGGUGUCGCUAACAUGGAAAUGCAAUUCCAGAACAAGGAUGACACCAAUGCCAGGAAUCUCAUUGACCUGAAUGUUGCACUGCCUUUCAUUGAUGAAAUGGAUAUAGAUGCCCGCCUCUCAGAAGGCGACACUGUUCCUCAAGAACAUGAUCAUUCUUCCAAUGAAGCUCUUGUUGUGACUUCUACGAAGAAUCUUAUGGCCAUGCAUAAUGAUAAGUUCCAAGCAAGAUCACCUGAAGGUAAUAAUAAUGAUGAUGACUGUGAAGCUUUGAAAAUGUAG
Molecule: ribosomal RNA, 582 nt
Filed under: Triticum aestivum (bread wheat)
Lineage: Eukaryota; Viridiplantae; Streptophyta; Magnoliopsida; Poales; Poaceae
Description: partial small subunit ribosomal RNA
Source: RNAcentral